UGAGAUGAACGCUGGCGGCAGGCCUAACACAUGCAAGUCGAACGGUAACAGGAAGCAGCUUGCUGCUUCGCUGACGAGUGGCGGACGGGUGAGUAAUGUCUGGGAAACUGCCUGAUGGAGGGGGAUAACUACUGGAAACGGUAGCUAAUACCGCAUAACGUCGCAAGACCAAAGAGGGGGACCUUCGGGCCUCUUGCCAUCGGAUGUGCCCAGAUGGGAUUAGCUAGUAGGUGGGGUAACGGCUCACCUAGGCGACGAUCCCUAGCUGGUCUGAGAGGAUGACCAGCCACACUGGAACUGAGACACGGUCCAGACUCCUACGGGAGGCAGCAGUGGGGAAUAUUGCACAAUGGGCGCAAGCCUGAUGCAGCCAUGCCGCGUGUAUGAAGAAGGCCUUCGGGUUGUAAAGUACUUUCAGCGGGGAGGAAGGGAGUAAAGUUAAUACCUUUGCUCAUUGACGUUACCCGCAGAAGAAGCACCGGCUAACUCCGUGCCAGCAGCCGCGGUAAUACGGAGGGUGCAAGCGUUAAUCGGAAUUACUGGGCGUAAAGCGCACGCAGGCGGUUUGUUAAGUCAGAUGUGAAAUCCCCGGGCUCAACCUGGGAACUGCAUCUGAUACUGGCAAGCUUGAGUCUCGUAGAGGGGGGUAGAAUUCCAGGUGUAGCGGUGAAAUGCGUAGAGAUCUGGAGGAAUACCGGUGGCGAAGGCGGCCCCCUGGACGAAGACUGACGCUCAGGUGCGAAAGCGUGGG
This 751-nucleotide ribosomal RNA is filed under the name Enterobacteriaceae bacterium DHL-23. RNAcentral describes it as "bacterial SSU rRNA". It matches the Rfam family "Bacterial small subunit ribosomal RNA", at positions 24 to 765 of the family's 1533-position model. The record is from RNAcentral. Lineage: Bacteria; Pseudomonadati; Pseudomonadota; Gammaproteobacteria; Enterobacterales; Enterobacteriaceae.